This is a long non-coding RNA of Hemiscyllium ocellatum (epaulette shark), 2618 nucleotides long. RefSeq lists it as uncharacterized. NCBI's taxonomy places the organism in Eukaryota, Metazoa, Chordata, Chondrichthyes, Orectolobiformes, Hemiscylliidae. The transcript has 4 exons. The record is from RefSeq and is a predicted model, not a curated record.
AGGAACAGGAAGUAGAAGAGAUGCGGUGGAGAGCAUCGUCAAUCACGUCUGAGGGGAAAUUACGGUCUUUGAAGAAAGAGGCCAUCUGGAUUGCUCGGUAUUGGAAUUGGUCCUCCUGGGAGCAGAUGAGAUGCUGCCAGACCCUGCUGAGCUUUUCCAUCAGCAUUUAAAAUGUGCGCUGGGCCAGGAUAAGCACAUCAACUGACCUCGGGCCUGGAUGAGCACCUUUACUGUCCCGAGGCAGACGUUAUCUGGACGCACAAACUGAUGUAGAAGCUUGUGUUCCUCUGUGAAGAAGGGAAAAAAAAGAUCAUUUAUAUAAAUAACAAACAAAAACGGAGGAUGAUCCAGAGAAUACACAUGCAUCGAAUUCAGAGAGUGACGGUCAUGUGCUCAUCAUAAGAGACCCCAUUCCAGUCACUUUCCAAAGCUGUGUCUUCAGCAAGGCGAGAGCAGGCUUGGACUCACAAGCAUGCACCACAGCAGCGGCAACAGGAAAGUGCGAGCCCUGCAGCGUAGUAGAGAGAAUGAGCUCAGCUAUCCAAGAUGGCAGAACCAGCAUGGUUGGCACUUCUGCUAUAAAUCAGAUACAGGAAGAGAAAUUGCUGGAAAAGCUCAGCAGGUCUGGCGGCAUUUGUAGAGAGAAAUCAGAGUUAACACUUCCUGAUUUACAGCAUUCGCAGUUCUUUCUGUUUUUACUUAGUGCGCGUCUAAUAAAUUACCAAGUUGGAGUGGUUCUGAAAUCUGUCCUAAAAAUCCAACUGUUUGAGGAAGACGACCCUGCCAUCCAAUCUAUUUGUCUAUGGGAAUAGAUAUAAACAGAGGAGAACCUGAUGAAGGAAGAGGCAAUUUAUUUUGACCAGAAUCUCUCAAUCCCUCACCAGCAAGGAGGAUCAGGGGAGCAGGUGUAUUUGAAUAUCUUCAAGUUUAUUCUCAAUCUCACAUUGUCCUGAUUUGUUCGAUAUCCAGGAUUAGAAGAAAAGUUCCUCCAUCAAAUACUGGGAAGACUGAAGUCUUCAGACACCACAACAAACUGCAAGGUUUUUUUUUCCAUCUCUUGGUAACUGCCUCAAGCCAGACGUUUCAGAACCAAGGCAAAAUAUUACACCCACAUAUCCCACCUAUCAUCGCAAGACCAUCUGGUCCCACCUCCCUAACGAGAAUAGAAGGUGUUAGAACUAUUCAGCAGGUCAGAUGGUGCCUGUGGAAGGAGAGUAAAACUUUUAGCUCACAACGACUUCCAUCAGAGCUCAGGGAAAGUGAAUAAAUCGCAGGGUUUGAGGAAGGGAACAGGACUUGGGGAUCAGAAAAAGUGGCUGUAGGAUAGAGUGGAUCCACCUCAUUAACAUCAGUAACUUUUACCUCAACCUCAGUUCAACUGUUUCUGAAUCUCUCAUCCUUCUUCCUGCAGGGCCCCUAGUCUGUUCAACACUGACACCCUUUUGUCUAACCUCUGACAUUCUACCACCACAAGCGGGUGAUAAUCCAAACCCAAAAGUUGUUAGUCACAAGAUACCCCUUUUCACCAAUGAUCAUUUUGUCCACUGAUCUACAAAGAUCUCCUGCUCAAGCACCAUUUCAAUUUUAAAAUUUGCACUCUUGCAAUCCCAGAAGCAACAGACAAACCUGAUGACUUCCACAUUCAAAGGUCAAUGAUAUGAUAUAGUGGCUCAGUGAUUAGCACUGCUGCCUCACAGCACCAGGAACCUGGGUUCAAUUCCAGCCUCUUCCCCCCCACCACCCUAUGUGUGGGUUUCCUCCGGGUGCUACGGUUUCCUCCCACAAUCUAAAGAUGUAUAGGUCCGGUGAAUUGUCCAUGCUAAGUUGCUCGUAGUGUUAGGUGCAUUAGUGAGGGGUAAAUGUAGAACAGAGAAAUGGGACUGGUGUGGGUUACUCUUCAGAGGGUCGGUGUGGACCAAAGGGUAUGUUCCCAUACCGGAGGGAAUCUACUAUGAUAUCCAGGACCCAGUGAAUGCACUGAGGUUGGACAGUCUUGAGCUCAUGUUUAGGUUGAGCUCCCCAUCUACAGAUACUUCUUGUUUAAUAUCACGUCACAGGAAGUUCCAAAACAUAAUUUAUAGAAGUUCACAACAUUGCUUCUUCGUGCUGAGGAUGAGUCACAGAGAUCUGGCAGCACAGAGAAAGGCCCUUCAGCCCAUUACCUCCAUGCCGAUCAAACAGAACCACCUAACUGUUCCAAUCCAUUUCCCAACACUUGGCUAUAACCUUAUACAGAGAAACCUCGAUUAUCCGAAUGAGAUGUGUGAGCACUAUUUUGUUUGGGUAAUUGAUUUUACCUUAAACAUGGGAAGCCAUGCUGUUCUAAUACUGUGCUCUCCCAGAGAAUUUCUAUGAGUCUGCCAUUGCAACAAACUAAUUCUUUCAGUCUGCAAAUCUCAGGUUAAACUGAGAAGGACUAAAUCCUUACCGUCACGUAAAUACUGUAUGUGAAAUCCCAGCAUUAAACAAGGUCCCAGGGAGCUUCUGCGAUCGCAAGAGCAUUUCUCAGUUUCCGGGAACUCAGUGUCACGAUCGGAAGACAGAAGCACAGCCUCAGGCGUGCAUUUACGUUCUCAGCCUUGUUUUUAAUGACCAGUAAAGUGAUGGCAAUACCCUGC